GUCUUGCUGUUGGCAUGGCAACAAGUUUGCUUGCCAAGCUCUAAGAUCCCGAGGGAAGGGAAAGGAGGAUGGAGUAUUGCUUUUAAAGAUAUCUGAACAGAAGGAAGAAUGGAACUUGCCGUUUUCAAUCCUGGAGAGCAGGAUGCUCGGUGAAACAAGCCAGGCACACCAAGACCAGGGUUGAAUAUUCUCCCUUACAUGGGAUCCACAUAAGUAGAUCUCUUCAACACGGAGAGUAGAAUACUGGUUACUGGAUACCAGAAGGGGAGCAAGGAUUGGAAGAGGAAAUAAUAGGCAAAGGUCGGUUACUGGGUGCAAAAAUACAGGUGUCUCACUAAACCUGAAGCUCCCCACUCUUUGGGGAGACUGUUGGUCAGCCAGCCCCAGCAACCCUCUACAUCCCUAGUACUAGAGUACAAGUGUGCAUGGCCAUGCCAGACUUUUGACCCAAGAGCUGAGAAUCCAAGGCUUAGGUCCUCAUGCUUGUGCAAGUAAGUGUUCUUCCCCACCGAGUCAUUGCCAUGGUCCAGUUUGUUUUUUAAAAUCAUGGUCAUUUUCUUCCUUGUCUUUUAGAGUCCAUCCCACAGAGAUGAAUUUAACACCUAAGUAAGUGUGUGUUCUCCGUGAGGAAUUUAGUGCCACAGUUGGAGUCCCUUUGCACAGAUUUCAGGUUUAUAUUCUGAAUACUGGGCAGAUAUCCAAAGACCUUCAAAUGCCUACCUCUGGACUCAGGUGGGAAAACGGGAAAUUGCCCUGGAGCGGAUUCUACAGUGAGCUGCGCAGCUAGUCUUUCCAGACUAAUGGCUCUAUCCACUCAGUUGUGGGAGCCUUGGCGCCUGAGCCCAACAGUGAGGGAUGGGUCUUUUCUAGGAGCUGCCCAGUCAGAAGCAAAUUGUCAAGCAGAUUCUUCCUCUGGAGCAGGCUGCACUGCAGGUGUCUGGUCACAGGAGGGAAGAAAGCUCUUGUCUAAGAGUCUCAGCUGGAAUACCUCUGAAGACCUACCCAAGCUAUGGAGCACCUCAUAGAAUGCUUUCAAAGCUUUCAAGGAAACUGCAUGGCACCUCAACCACCCUUUGGCUUGACCCCCUUUCCCUUGUGCCUAGGUGACGCCCCCACCAAUGGCCUCUGAACAAGAAUCUCAGUUCAUUCAUUCCCCAUGGUCAACACACACACACACACACACACCACUUGACCUACAGCAACUCCCACCACCAGCUGUAGUUCCGUGCCAUCUAGCAGGAUUGGACGUUCCUAUUGUUUGAACCUGAGGAUCGGCAGCAUGUCUCUUAUCUGUAACUCUUCACCAUCUUCGGUGGCCUCUGCUGUUCGCAGCGCCUGAAAUAUGGCAGGAGUCUACCCCUUCGCAUGCUCAGAGCCCUCUCAUGCGAGGAACUGCAGGAAACACUGCAUGCCCCAUCUCAUUUCACCACUGGUAUCUCAAGGGAGAGGUGCACUGGCUCUGGGAUGUUGUUUUGUUAUACUGUGUGGGUUUUACUUGCUUUCUUCUUUUUAUACAAAGUAGCCAAGGCUCUGAGAAAUCAGCUUGCCCGAAGGUGCACAGCUAUUUGAGCGAAGCUUAACUAGACUCUAGGCAACCUUAACUCUAAAACCAGUGCCUCUGAUUCCGCACGUACUUCUUUCCCCUGCUCUGUCCAGCGCUUCUCCUACAGCCUUUCAUUUCUAUCAUCUGCACUCAUUCUCGUGCCUGCUGUGUCUGUUCCUCUCACAAUCCUGGACCGCUGCUGUGUCUGGAUGUCAUGUACUCAUUUGCACAAAGUCUGGCUGUCCCAUCAGACCUAAUCUCCACACACGCACUUCCGUUUGCUCAGGGUUUUCUUUCAGGGCCAUGCAAGGUGUGAUUUCCAAAGCAAUUAUCUGAAUUUCCAAAGAGGUUCACUUAGAUUUUCUUCAUUAAUUCUGAAGUAGUUAAAACUGAUAUCCUGCAUGUGAACACAGACACCUCUUGCCAUUUCUCAAGCAUCCUCAUCUCGCACACACUGAUAAAGAGGCCUCAGAUAGAUGUCAUAUCCUCUGGGAGUAUGGAAUUGUGGAUUCUGAUUAGGGUAAGGAAACCGGCUGGAGGAACAACCGUGUGCCUGAGGAAGUAUACCUCUCAAUGUAACUGCUGCGUGGGCAGGAGCCCCACCGAGAAAGUAGCAUUUGAGAAAAUACAGGAGACAAGGAAAUGGUCCAGGGCUCUCUUCAGGAAAGGGGCACCUUCAAAGAGUUCUUGGGCCAAAAGGUUGCUCCGCCUCCACCCAAAGAUGCUAAGGGGUCAGCUGAGAGGAGGUCCGAGACUUGACUAUUGGACUGGCAGUACAGAGGCCACUAGUUACUUUGCCAGUGGUACCCUUCAUGAGGUGGACAUGGAAGCUCAUAUGAGCUAGACUAAGGGGGUCUUAGGAAGAACAGGAGGAGGACUUGGAGAUAGCUGAGGAGGCUAACUCUUCCUGUGCAGCUCUUCUGCACAAGGAAAACUCAUGGUCUUAACUGAACAUAAAUAAUCAAGAAGAGACCUUUCUAAGGUAAGACUUCAAAAAAAAAAGAUAGUUGGAUGCUGCAGGGACUGGUAUGAUGGAGGGAAAUGAAUAAAGAAGGUGUGAGGAAUAGAACAGUCAGUGUCUUGACACAUCAGGGAAAUGGCACAUGAUGGGCAUAAAGACAAGGAGAAAAACAGGCUGUCUAGAGGGCUGGUGGGAUGGGAUGACCCCAGCCAGUAGACAGCUGGGAUCCUGGCUGUCUCGGUAAAUGUAACUUUCAAGAACAAUGGAGCUUUAAACUCUAGAAUUUUAAUAUUUUGGUGAAGUACAUACUCUGGGCUCAUGGAAGAGACCAGAAAUAGCCAAAAAAACAAAAAAACAAAAACAAAAACGAAAACAAAACAACAACAACAACAACAAAAAGCCUGUCUACUUCAACUAUUAACUCCUGCACACACUUCCUCCUCUUCUCCCCACUUCCUCCACAUCUGUGUAGAGGCUCCUACCCAGAUUAUCAUUCAUCUCUGUCCACAGACAUGCCUACAUAGAGAAGAAAAGAGCUGGUAACACGAGCCGGUUACCUGUGUUGCCGCCAAUCUGCCAGGGUGAUUGCACAGGUUAGCUCUGGCUUUUCUACAGCAGCCCCAUGAACUCAGGAGUCCUUCAUCAUUUCCAGAAAGAUGGCCGCCUCCCAGCCGUAUACCUGGGAGUCGUGUCCAGAGGUCAGGCAGCAGCGGGUGAAGACCAGUGUGCACAACUCUGUGGUGGCCAUGUGUGAAGAGGAGAGCCCAUUUUCUUACAAUCUAGCAACAAUUAGCCAACUAUCCCACUGAUCAUAACUCAUCUCUGUUCAUAGAUGUGCCUACAGAGAAGCGAAGAGCUAGUUACACGAGCUAGAUAUAUGACAAAAAACACCCUGCUGGACAUUGGCAACUACCAGAGCCAGACUCUGAAGUGCAUUGGCCUUCCUGUCCAGAUCUUACUCUCCCCAAGAGCUGUAUAAGCGUCCUCUUUCUCCGGGAAAUGGUCAACAGCUCCAACCUAACCUGGAUUCUCCUUCUGCAGAGCAACAUGGCGCUCCCUGUCUGCUACACACGCUGUGAUGCUACACAUGUGUUUUACUGAACAACCCACUCUGCAUAUUAUUCUCCCCAGUGGUCGUGGAAACUUGUUAAGCAUGACCAGCUCAAUGUUGCCCUAGGAUUGGUCCUGCAGAAUACCAGCUGGCCACGGAGAAGCCUGCCCCCUCACUCUUCUUCAAUCUCUUGUUCAGUACUCUUAGUGAUCUGUGUCUUCUAAUGAUGAAUUGGUUGGAAACUUCCCUUUCUUCCAAUGUGACUUCUUUGCUAUGAAUCCUUUCCUUCUGGAGUUUGGGGGAGGGGGGCGCUCCUCACAGCUCCAUCAGACCUAGCGCAAGGGCAUCCUUCCCUUAGACUUGUGUGUAAACUCACUCUCACUUGGAGCUAUGAGGUUGGCCUCCAGGUAGGAGAAGGAGGAGCAAAGUAAACAAAGGUAUAUCCCUUUUGUUGCACUGUC
Rattus norvegicus (Norway rat) is the source of this 4016-nucleotide non-coding RNA. NCBI's taxonomy places the organism in Eukaryota, Metazoa, Chordata, Mammalia, Rodentia, Muridae. The record is from RefSeq and is a predicted model, not a curated record.